CUCGCAGGUUUCAGGCCCCGCCUCCUCCGGGCCCAGCCGGUCUCCGCAGACCUUAGGCCUGGAACCCGGGCGCCCGCAGCCCCGCGCCCCCGCUCCCCGUCCCCCGGUGCGGCGCCAGCCCGGCCGGAGCGCGCGGGCGGCGGGAUCGCGGCGGACCUGGGUCCACGCCGCGCAGCCUCGGGUCCCGCGGGCGCAGGGGAGAGAGGCGGGGCGGCGGGCCGGGGCGGAGCGGCGGCCGGGAGCCGGGAGCCGUCCCUGCUCUGUGUCCGCCGGCCGCCAGGCGCAGCCAUGGAGGUCUACAUCCCGUCCUUUCGCUACGAGGAGAGUGACCUGGAGCGGGCAUACACGCUCUCUCACCUCUCCCACCAGCAUCAGCAGUCCGGAGGGCCCACUGCCUUUGGGGCAUUCUUUAAGGAUCUGAAGAUAAGGCUGCUUUGGGGGCACGUUGGUCUUCAGAUGCAGGUGUUUAAGAUAGAAGUGCUAAUGAACGGAAGAAAACAUUUUGUUGAGAAAAGGUACAGCGAAUUUCAUGCCUUGCACAAAAAGCUCAAGAAAUGUAUUAAAACGCCAGAAAUCCCUUCAAAACACGUGAGGAACUGGGUCCCAAAAGUGUUGGAACAACGACGACAAGGCUUGGAAACGUAUUUACAGGCUGUCAUUUUAGAAAAUGAAGAACUUCCCAAACUGUUUCUUGAUUUCCUAAACAUACGGCACUUGCCAUCUCUACCAAAGGCGGAGAGUUGUGGGUCGUUUGAGGAGACAGAAUCUGAAGAGUCAAGCAAGCUGUCCCACCAGCCGGUGCUGCUGUUCCUCCGGGAUCCAUACGUCUUGCCUGCAGCCAGCGCGCCGGGUGCUACACUGAAGCGGCGCCAGGCCGAAGCCGCAUGACGGAUAGCGCGUUGGAAACCAAACUGCACGGCGCUGCAGAUUCCCAAGUCACGAUUUCCCUAACGUGGUUAUUGAAGGCGUUCUCCACGGGAUCUUCUACCCUCACCUGCAGCCCAGGUAGAAAGCCUGCGGGGCCAGAAGAAGCUGAAGCCCGUUUCAACGUUGUAGUCAAGGAAAUCGAUCACCUACCAAAUUAACCUAAACUCUAUGACACAGCAGCUCUAGCUAGUGGUGAAAUUCACAGGCCCAGCUUCACUCAGGGCAGGGACAUUUCCAUUAGAAUGGUGCUUUUAAAAAUAGAAACUGAACCAGGGCUGUGCUGAGGUCAAGGCCAAAUGUUCAAGGCUAGAACGUAGCUGCCAAUUGAGAAACCCGUGAGCACGAGGCUCGGGAAGAUCCCCGGGAGCACUCAGUGCCACAAAGCCUAGUGACUCUCGGCCUCACUCGGACCAUCUGCUAAUUGAAAAUCUUAUCCUGAAUCACACUGAGGCUGACCAACUCCGGUACUUUCUGGUUCAGAUUUUGUGACACACUAAUGUUUUCAUCCUGAGGUUUCCUCGGCCAGGGAUAGAUCCAUUCAUAGUGCGGGCACCAGGAGGGUAUCACAGAAACGCACACUGCUGACUGUGAGGAAGGCGCCAAACUGGAAAUUAAAUGCUGCUGACAGUAUUCGGGCACGUUUUAAAUCAUGGCGUUUUUAAUUGACGUGACAGUGGAGUUGAGUCAUAUCCAGGGGUUAGCAUCUAAUGUCAGUACAUGAGAAAAAAAUGGAGUAUCAAGCAUAUCCUUGAAAGCCCUCUGGGCAGGCAUCAUGUUGGAAAUCUGUUCACAUCUACAAUGACCAUUUUUUCCUCCAGUGUUGGGAGAAAGGACUGUUUCUUCCACUGAAGACCAAUUGAAAUGGUUGGUGUUUGUUUGGGGGCUGCACAUACCUUUAAACACUAGCGUCACACUUACCCCUGCAAGAUGCUUGUCCCCUGAGACAGCAUGGGCACUGACCCUGGCUGAGGGGACACUCUGCAUAGGCAGCACUCACCUUGGUUUACUCGAGGGCGUCCAUUCGUUGAAUAGGUGGCAUUGCCAUGGGAUUUACUGUUAUUUUUCUUACUGUUUCCUUUUCACUGACCUCAUAUCUUGAAUUAAGGUAAGUUAAAUGUGUUCAUGAUAGGAUUCCACUGUAUACCUUACAGACAUUCAUAAUUUGAGUAGUAAAGGAUAUAAGCAUAUGUGCAACCUGUAUGUAUGUGCUGUUAUUUGGGCGUUUCAUUGAAAACUAAUUAAUAGCUAAAUUAUUUACGAUUAUUAAUUUUAAUAAGCUUCUGUAUGGGAGAGAAGAAUAUUUAGAUUCAAAACUAAUUACUGAAUCAUGUUAUUUGAUUAAGAUAUAAAUAUAUAAGUUUUAAUCCUGAUGCAAACUUUUUAGAGAUAUGUUUAUGUUAGAUAUGGUCCCACAUAUUAGGAACAAGCAAGAACUACUCAAUGUCAUCAACCAAAAAUAACUGAAUAGUCAAGUGUUGGAGAUAUUUUUUUAACGUUUUUGUUAUUAGCUAUUUUGAGUUAAAUAAAAACAAAGAACAAGAAAUACUUGAAGUUGUCUUCUGCUCCUAAGGUUUUGUUGGAAAUACAAAUUGUGUCUUGUCUCUACAUACACACACAACUUCUCAUGGAUUCACAUAGAUAUUUAUGUCUAAAAUGACAAGGUAAGGGUUAAUUACCUCAUCCAUUAAGCCAAAAGAUACUCAUUAAGUAGUUAUGAUUUACCAAGAUAGUGAUGAUUUAAGAAAAAUAAAUACUGAGCAUCUUUGGUGGCACACUACUCAAGAAAUAUUUUUUGAGAAUUAAUAUUUUAUUAUUUUAAAUUUAUCUUUAUUGUUGAAAGUAUUGCAGAUAUCCCCCCCCCCCCUUCACCCUGCUCCUGCCCCCUGCCCAGGCCUUCACUGCACUAAUGUCCGUGUUCUUUUUCUUAGUGAUGACUUUCAUUUUUUAUUUUAUGUAAAUGUUUGAUAUGUAAUUUAAUAUUCCACUUCAAUUCCAUUGCAGGAAGUAGAAACCACAGUAGGUAUUUUAAACAGAAUGAAAUAAUAAGGAACUGAAUACUUACAGAAUCUUUGAAAGAAUGAGGAGGGUGAACUGCUGGGUCUCCAGCAACAAAUUCCAGAACAUUCCAGCAAGCUCCAGUACCCACAUGCCAGGGGAGCUACAACUUUUGCCUUAAGCAGGAGUUCAGGGAGGCAGGAGGCUGCUACUGGAGCCAUUGAGGUAAAAACCACUGUAGCUUUGAUCCAAGCAUCAGCAUGUCAGGUCAGGAAGUCACUGUUAGAGCCAUAACUGCCUCAUAGCGGUGCCCUGGGAGCUGGUGACUGGGCACUGGAACAAGGGGUCCAGCUGCUACCACCUACUCCACAAUGGCCUUGCUUCCAGCAGCCACAGCCCCAGCAGCAGGAAGACGGUGUUCACCCACUUCUCUCUUCCACUGCACAUCCCACAGAAGUCCAUCCAAUGAACCUUAUUCUUGAUCCUCAGCGUCAAGGGAGUCUGAGAAGGAGUUGGAACUUUCUGGUCUCUGCAGCAACUCAAGAGGCCCAGGAAGCAAACUUGUCUUUAAAGUCCCAGUUGGAGGAAAAAGAUUCAAGAUUUCAAAUGGAGACAUCCAUCCAAAGGAGAGGACAUAAUUACCCGCUAGGCUGGAUGGUGGCCCUCACCUUGUUUUUAAAGGCCUGGUGUGCUUCGGGGAGAAAGCCCUUCACACCCUCUGAAACACCGAAUGGGUGUGAAAAUUUCUAUGACUCCUAAUAAAACUUCAGAAGUAGGCAGCAGGAGGGAUAUGGGCAUGUUGCGCCCUCUCCAAACUCUCCAAAUUUGUGACUCUGGCCAUUCUGAUGGAACUAGGGAUGAAAAUAAAACUCCAUUUGUGGGUUUUA
Myotis daubentonii (Daubenton's bat) is the source of this 3809-nucleotide RNA transcript. It is a transcript of the gene named sorting nexin 24, with no coding region annotated. The record is from RefSeq and is a predicted model, not a curated record. Lineage: Eukaryota; Metazoa; Chordata; Mammalia; Chiroptera; Vespertilionidae.